RNAcentral lists this ribosomal RNA (594 nucleotides) under uncultured marine eukaryote. RNAcentral's name for it is "SSU rRNA". It matches the Rfam family "Eukaryotic small subunit ribosomal RNA", at positions 621 to 1233 of the family's 1831-position model. The record is from RNAcentral.
AAAAAGCUCGUAGUCGGAUUUUGGCUGAGAACGGUCGGUCCGCCGUUAGGUGUACACUGACUGGUCUCAGCUUCCUGGUGAGGAGGUGUGCUUCAUCGCCACUUAGUCACCGUGGUUACUUUGAAAAAAUUAGAGUGUUCAAAGCGGGCUUACGCUUGAAUAUAUUAGCAUGGAAUAACACCAUAGGACUCCUGUCCUAUUUCGUUGGUCUCGGGACGGGAGUAAUGAUUAAGAGGAACAGUUGGGGGCAUUCGUAUUUCAUUGUCAGAGGUGAAAUUCUUGGAUUUAUGAAAGACGAACUUCUGCGAAAGCAUUUGCCAAGGAUGCUUUCAUCGAUCAAGAACGAAAGUUGGGGGCUCGAAGAUGAUUAGAUACCAUCCUAGUCUCAACCAUAAACGAUGCCGACUAGGGAUUGGCGGAUGUUAAUUGAUGACUUCGCCAGCACCUUAUGAGAAAUCAAAGUUUUUGGGUUCCGGGGGGAGUAUGGUCGCAAGGCUGAAACUUAAAGGAAUUGACGGAAGGGCACCACCAGGCGUGGAGCCUGCGGCUUAAUUUGACUCAACACGGGGAAAACUUACCGGGGUCCAGACAUAG